CAGAAAAAAGGAACUUCAAGGUGUCACCCCCCAAAAGCAAGCAAAAUGCAAAACCAGCAGCUGCAGAGGAAAAUAAUAACCAUCAAAAGGCAAACAAAAGGCAUCUCCAUGGCAACCGCAACAGAGCAGCGUCCCAACCUCCUAAGUGGUAGCAAAAAAUCCCCAUACAUUGAAAGGAGGCUGCUAUAUGCAACAAACAUAACAUAGCCCCCAAAAAAUUAAGCAGGGUAUCC
Molecule: long non-coding RNA, 233 nt
Filed under: Theobroma cacao (cacao)
Lineage: Eukaryota; Viridiplantae; Streptophyta; Magnoliopsida; Malvales; Malvaceae
Description: long non-coding RNA (TCAC_LNC003532)
Source: RNAcentral